Long non-coding RNA from Nothobranchius furzeri (turquoise killifish), 3366 nucleotides. The record is from Ensembl. NCBI's taxonomy places the organism in Eukaryota, Metazoa, Chordata, Actinopteri, Cyprinodontiformes, Nothobranchiidae.
UUUGACAGAUUUGUCCGAAAACCCAACAGCCAUGUCUGGAAAAGUAAGUCUGCACUAUUUCAACGGGAGAGGGAAAAUGGAGUCAAUCCGUUGGCUUCUGACAGUUGCAGAAGUGGAGUUUGAUGAGUUUCACCUGACAACCAGAGAUCAGUACCAGAAGCUUCUGGAUGGUGAGUUGGUUUUCAGAGACAUUCUCAACUUGUGUCAAGCCAGCCUCCAGUUUAUUGCCGGUUCCCCGUCUAUUCAAAGUAUUACGGGAAGGGAUGUGGAAACCGGAUUUCAAAAUAAAACUAAAUUUCGAGUCAAUUAACAGAUUUUUUAAGAACAUAAUAACAUAUAAUUUAAGCUUAUUCACUAUUAGCGGCCUGUCAAUAUCAAGACCAUUUUAUUUUGGAUUUCAGAGUAAAAGCCCUGUGAAUUUUCAACUCAGUCUGAAGUUGCCUUCCAAAAUAAAGGCCUUUUUAAAUUGCCCAUAUACGACCAAACUUUCAGUGAUUUCAAAAUGCUCUAAAAUGGAAAAUUGCUUUUCCACUGGGUCAUUCCACUUUAGAUCAACAGUAUACAACCCCACAGUGAUACCAUAUCAAUAUCAAGUCAUUCUGAUGUUGCUUUCCAAAAUAAAGGCCUUUUUAAAUUGNNNNNNNNNNNNNNNNNNNNNNNNNNNNNNNNNNNNNNNNNNNNNNNNNNNNNNNNNNNNNNNNNNNNNNNNNNNNNNNNNNNNNNNNNNNNNNNNNNNNNNNNNNUGGGGUUUUGUGUGUGCAGUUUUGAAAGAAACGUACAGUUUUGAAAAACGUGUUUUAGCAAUCGAAAAAAACUGUAACAAUUUCAAAAUGCUCUUAAAUAGAUUUUUGCUGUUUCCACAGGAUGACUACAUGUUCGAUCAAUAGUAUACAACCACACAGUGAUUCCAUAUCAAUAUUAAGUCAGUCUGAUUUUAUUUAUUAAAAUUUGCUGAAGUAGAUUUCUUGUCUUUACAUAUUAAUGACACAGUAUUUUCUUUGUAUUAGUAAUGUUAUGAAAUAGAACCAUUUUCAUAAAAGUAAGAUAGGUAAAUCUGUUUAUCUUUGAAAACAAAUCCCAGAAAAAGGGAACAACUCAAUACAAGGAGAGUAAAUUGUAAAGUCCAAAAGGUGCAGUCAUGAUAACAUUAAAGGUGCUUUAAAGGUAAAUGACAACAUCACGGAAAUGUGCAUUAGAUAUGUAUGAAAAUGUUUCGCUGUAUUAUGUUGCUCAAAUUAUCACUUUGGUGGAGACAACAGAGUACGUCUUCAAAUAUUUUGACGCAAGCAUCCAAAAAGUCUGUGGUUUAACAGCACAGGAGACAAUUCCACGCUUCUUUCUUUGCUUUUUUAAAGACAUUGUUGGUCAUGUCAAGGCACUGCUCAUGGUACCAUCUUUGACAGGUGUCACAUUGUAUCUACUUGAAAUCAAACAGACAAGGCAAAAAAAACAUUUAUACUCAAAGACUUUUACACAUUUUUGAGAAAUUCAAAUACCCUCCAACUCACCCAGUUCAUCAUUGAAGGUCCUGAUCCAAGUGGCUCGGUCAGUGAACACAUGGCACAGUUGCUGUUAGUGUCAAAAACUAAAAUACAGAAUCAAAACACAUUAGAUAGACAUUCGUUUGAAGACCAAUUUGUGCAUAUGUUAAGCUGUGUACUUACAACUUUCUAUCGAUUAGACAACUGCAUAAAGUGCCGUUGUGCACUAUAAUAAUCCUAACAGAAUAACACAUUUCAAUCUACACACAUGCACACACAUACAUUCAAAUACAUUCUGUAUACACACACACACACACACACACACACACACACACAUUUUCUCUAUUCAUCCCCAAACCAACCUGAUGCCUGUAGUAUCUCCACAGCCAUCAGCUUUCUUUUCUCUGCCAUUUUCUCUUUUGAGGUUUUAAAUUUCAUGACGGGAAAAUCUGGAAAUACUUUCAUCACUGCCCGUGCCAUCUACAGAGAAAUACUCAAAAUUUUAAUUGUGGAAAAAAAGACACAAUUGUACUCAAUAUAAAAUUUCUGAUGUUUAUAAUCUUGCAUAAAGAGUAUGAAAAACAAAGACCAAUAAAUAGAUUUAAGUCUUUAUGAACACCAGGUAACUUCUAACCCUCAGUACAGGGUUGUUGAAAUGGACAUCGUGGAUGAAUAAAUAUGUGAUAUACCUUGUAAACAUAGAGAACAAAGUGGACAGGGUUAAAAACAACACUGCACUCUACAGUAAGGGCCAGAGCCAUGUACAUUCUUUGAAGCUGAUGAGUAACUGAAAUAGUGAACAUCACUAGUUACUAGUUAAUAACACCAUAUAACACAGUACACAACAGCAAGUAUCACAGCCACAACCUAGAUAAGUAUAAGUAACAGUAGAUAGUAAAUAUUGGUGUCAGCACGGCCCCUGCCGAGAAACAUUAUCAUCUACAUGUACUUAAAAUUGAGACGUGGGCACCGGCAACUUAGGAGAGUUUGAAUACACAGACCAUCCCUUGGACGCCAUUCAGCAUGCCCAGCACAAGUGAUGUUGAUGUAUAGAUUGUGGAAUAAAAUUGAGGUACAGGUGGUUGGAAGGGGACACAGCAGGAAUGUCUCACACCCACCUCAGUGAAACAACUGUACGCCAAAGCCCUGCAUGUGUGGCGGUGUGAUGGAGUGGGAAUGAGGAGGGGAGGGAAGUGAAGGCAAAGUAGUCUCUCGUGUGGCCAGGUCCCCCGCUGACCCAAGUAGGCACCCCUAGAAGCCACAAAUGCCCAUCUGGACGGGGGCCUACAUUAGCACCACCACCAUGCCCCACGGAGCCUGGGGUGGUGGGCUCACAUUCAAUAAUCUCUCUGACUGCAUAAGACAAAAGACACCACGGCUGAGUUUAUUCUCCACCUCUGUACUAAUUUUAAAGUAAACUAUUGUCUUAUUUGGUGGGUUUUAAAGGUGGUGAACACUUGACAAACAAAGUAAAAAGAAAAAACAAUACAAGACUAUUAUAAAUUAAAGGGCCUUGGAGAUGUCAUUCAAACUAACACCAAUGCACAUCAAAAAAUACAUGUGAGUAACAGAAAGAAUAAAACUACAACUCCCAUGGUGCUUUGCGGCGUUAGCGCAGAGCCGAAGCGUCCCCUCCUUUGUGUUUUUUCCAGCGUCUGCUGCCGGUGUUCUGGGAAUAUCUCCUACCCCGUAAACCGUCCUACCUGUCGUUACCAGGCCCCCACAAUGCAGCUUUAAAAUUGAGGCCAACCCGGAAGUAAGAAAAAUUGCAGUUCCACCUUCAUCCGCUGGGGGCUGGUAUCAGAAGCGAGCAAAUCCUCAUUGACUCCCAUGUUAAAAAUGCCAAUUUCACAGCAGAAAUAAACAUGUUUACAGCCUGGCACCA